UGGAGGCACGGCAGCGGACGGCAGAGUUCAGCGAGUGCGGAGCAUAAAGAACCUUCGAGAAAUACAAGAACAUUUAGAAGAAUUGAAGUUUCAUUCUAAAAUAUCUGGAACUUUCUGAAACAAGUGACAUUAGAGACGUCAGCGAGGCUGGCGUCCUGUCUUUAAAAUAAUGAAUUUGUAAUAAAAUCCGAUAUCAGAAGUCGGAUCGCUCCUGUGAUCAGUUACUGCCGGUCUUAGUGUAUUUGUAAAUCCUGAUCCAGCUCAAGAAAAUAAUCAUCCGGAGAACUUGCGUAAUGAAGAACGCUCCUCAGUCUUUCAUGCAAAUGAUGUCAACAAUGCAGAGCGUGACCGAACGUUUGCUACUAAAAAAAAACAAGGGAUACGAUUAAAAUUACUAACAAGAUCAUAUUAAUUUUAUCAUCUUUUGAUCCCGGUGAUAGUGUGUGUGUUCGGGAUUGAUUCAAACGCAUCUUUACGGCUGUAAAUACGUACCAAAUCAGUAACUACGACAUUAGAAUUAAAGUCUUUUAAAGGAGCGUGCUAGAAAGUGUGCAGACGAUUGGUUAGUUGCAACAUCUACACAAGAGGCAUUACGUGAGACCAUAGCUAACAUUUGUUAUUAUCCUUUGAGCUAACCUCGUGUCCAUGAUGUAUUCUGAAGAGAACCAUGAGAUUCUGUAGGGAAGGCUUGUGGUACCGUGACAAGACAAUUAUACACCACAGAUCUGGAGAACGUGACCUCUGAGCUAAUCGCGUGUUACCCUUGAGCUAACCACGGGUCCUUGAUGUAUCCAUAAGAGAACCAUGAGAUUCCGUAGGGAUGCCUUGUGGAGCCGUGAGAAGACAAGUCUACACCACAGAUGUGGAGAGCGUACCUCUGAACUAAUCGCGUGUUACUCUUGAGCCAACCACAGGUCCUUGCUGUAUCCUUAAGAAUACCAUGAGAUGACGUAGGGAGGCCUUGGGAAGACUUGAGUAGAAAGGUAUUCACUCGAUCUAUAAGAACUUGCAUGAUUUUAAUAUCAAACUACUAAGACCAUUGCUUUAUUUAAAUACGACAAUAGACAUACUCUUCACAGUAAUAUUUGCAACAUGUCUGGUUAACACACGGCAGUGCCUCUACAAAAACGAUGCUGUAAUUCAAACGAAAGCAUACUCGACUCCAAAAUCCUGAUCAAAUACAUCUAUUGCGAAUAUAACUAAUUUCUGUUCGUUUUUUUGCUAACCGUGAUCAUGCGUUUGAAUCGUGUUUCCGACGAGAAAAAGAAGAUGACGCCGAAUAUCAAUUCAAUAUCGACUGGUAAAUGUACCCUAAAUUAAAAGCAAGGUUGCAGUGUUCCAGGUUUUGAAACGACUACUGAUAUAUUAACCGGAGCAGAUAAGUUAUUACGUGAUAAGAAUACAUGUGGAAAAUUUAGUAUCCUUGCCGAUGUUUUGCACAUACGAACAAGUCAAUUAUGCUUUGACAGUUUAGAUUACAAUUCGACAAUCAGUCCGUUUAAAUCGAAGUAAUGCACCAACACAUUCAAAACAGGAUGGUCGAGGCGGAGAGAAGAUACAAAGCUAGGUUUUUGAGAGACCGUGGAUGACUUCGAAAUGUGGCACAUGACCAGCUACGAAUGUGGCACAUGACCAGCUACGAUGAGACUUCACAGCAUCUGAGGGACGACACAGAAUUACUAAGCAAGCAGUUAGGUGGACGGUUCGCCUACCUAAUAGUUAUCCG
Long non-coding RNA from Danaus plexippus (monarch butterfly), 1726 nucleotides. RefSeq lists it as uncharacterized. The record is from RefSeq and is a predicted model, not a curated record. NCBI's taxonomy places the organism in Eukaryota, Metazoa, Arthropoda, Insecta, Lepidoptera, Nymphalidae. The transcript is spliced from 2 exons.